Molecule: microRNA precursor, 163 nt
Filed under: Pelobates cultripes (western spadefoot toad)
Lineage: Eukaryota; Metazoa; Chordata; Amphibia; Anura; Pelobatidae
Source: RNAcentral
ACACAUUCCAGCCAAUCAGCAGCAGACCCUCCCUCCCAGACCCUCCCACCUCCUGGACAGCAUCCAUUUUACAUCCAUUGUGAAGCUGCAUUCUUAGUGAGCUGUCCAGGAGGUGGGAGGGUCUGGGAGGGAGGGUCUGCUGCUGAUUGGCUGGAAUGUGUCU